AUUGAACGCUGGCGGAAUGCUUUACACAUGCAAGUCGAACGGCAGCACGGGGGCAACCCUGGUGGCGAGUGGCGAACGGGUGAGUAAUACAUCGGAACGUGCCCAGUCGUGGGGGAUAACGUAGCGAAAGUUACGCUAAUACCGCAUACGAUCUACGGAUGAAAGCGGGGGACCGUAAGGCCUCGCGCGAUUGGAGCGGCCGAUGUCAGAUUAGGUAGUUGGUGAGGUAAAGGCUCACCAAGCCGACGAUCUGUAGCUGGUCUGAGAGGACGACCAGCCACACUGGGACUGAGACACGGCCCAGACUCCUACGGGAGGCAGCAGUGGGGAAUUUUGGUCAAUGGGCGCAAGCCUGAUCCAGCCAUUCCGCGUGCAGGACGAAGGCCUUCGGGUUGUAAACUGCUUUUGUACGGAACGAAAAGGCUCUGGUUAAUACCUGGGGCUCAUGGCGGUACCGUAAGAAUAAGCACCGGCUAACUACGUGCCAGCCGCCGCAGUAA
RNAcentral lists this ribosomal RNA (500 nucleotides) under uncultured bacterium. RNAcentral describes it as "partial 16S ribosomal RNA". It matches the Rfam family "Bacterial small subunit ribosomal RNA", at positions 30 to 523 of the family's 1533-position model. The record is from RNAcentral.